UUUCCGUAGGUGAACCUGCGGAAGGAUCAUUACCACACCUUAACACAAGAAUUCGAGCUGCCUCACGGCGCUCGUCUUCGGUUACGUGGAACUAUUGUUUGGGCGGUUGCCUCACAGCAAUCCGUCUCGCCGAGGGAGCAAUCUCGAGGCCAUUCUCAUCCACUUGAUCACUCAAGUGCGAUUACCCAACACAAUCUGAUGGUAACUCAUCCACCCAGUCGGCGCAAGCCGUCUGUAUAAGAUGAAACGAAACUAACACUUUCAGCAACGGAUGUCUUGGCUCCC
This 285-nucleotide unclassified non-coding RNA is filed under the name soil metagenome. RNAcentral's name for it is "partial contains small subunit ribosomal RNA, internal transcribed spacer 1, and 5.8S ribosomal RNA". The record is from RNAcentral.